GGGGAAUCUUGCACAAUGGGCGAAAGCCUGAUGCAGCGACGCCGCGUGCGGGAUGAAGGCCUUCGGGUUGUAAACCGCUUUCAGCAGGGACGAGGCGAAAGUGACGGUACCUGCAGAAGAAGCCCCGGCUAACUACGUGCCAGCAGCCGCGGUAAUACGUAGGGGGCAAGCGUUAUCCGGAUUCAUUGGGCGUAAAGCGCUCGUAGGCGGUCUGUUAGGUCGGGAGUUAAAUCCGGGGGCUCAACCCCCGUUCGCUCCCGAUACCGGCAGACUUGAGUUUGGUAGGGGAAGGUGGAAUUCCUAGUGUAGCGGUGGAAUGCGCAGAUAUUAGGAAGAACACCAGUGGCGAAGGCGGCCUUCUGGGCCGUAACUGACGCUGAGGAGCGAAGGCUAGGGGAGCAAACAGGAUUAGAUACCCUGGUAGUCCUAGCCGUAAACGAUGGACACUAGGUGUGGGGGAAUAUUUCUUCCGUGCCGCAGCUAACGCAUUAAGUGUCCCGCCUGGGGAGUACGGCCGCAAGGCUA
This 525-nucleotide ribosomal RNA is filed under the name uncultured bacterium. RNAcentral describes it as "bacterial SSU rRNA". It matches the Rfam family "Bacterial small subunit ribosomal RNA", at positions 356 to 896 of the family's 1533-position model. The record is from RNAcentral.